This 425-nucleotide ribosomal RNA is filed under the name uncultured bacterium. RNAcentral's name for it is "partial 16S ribosomal RNA". It matches the Rfam family "Bacterial small subunit ribosomal RNA", at positions 354 to 796 of the family's 1533-position model. The record is from RNAcentral.
GUGGGGAAUAUUGGACAAUGGGCGCAAGCCUGAUCCAGCCAUGCCGCGUGAGUGAUGAAGGCCCUAGGGUUGUAAAGCUCUUUCACCGGAGAAGAUAAUGACGGUAUCCGGAGAAGAAGCCCCGGCUAACUUCGUGCCAGCAGCCGCGGUAAUACGAAGUGGGCUAGCGUUGUUCGGAAUUACUGGGCGUAAAGCGCACGUAGGCGGACAUUUAAGUCAGGGGUGAAAUCCCGGGGCUCAACUCCGGAACUGCCUUUGAUACUGGGUGUCUGGAGUAUGGAAGAGGUAAGUGGAAUUCCGAGUGUAGAGGUGAAAUUCGUAGAUAUUCGGAGGAACACCAGUGGCGAAGGCGGCUUACUGGUCCAUUACUGACGCUGAGGUGCGAAAGCGUGGGGAGCAAACAGGAUUAGAACCCCCGGUAGUCC